Non-coding RNA from Myotis lucifugus (little brown bat), 46 nucleotides. NCBI's taxonomy places the organism in Eukaryota, Metazoa, Chordata, Mammalia, Chiroptera, Vespertilionidae. The record is from Rfam.
CCAAAGGCCCUUUUCAGGGCCGCCCACCCCCUCUUGGAAGAGCUGU